UAGGGAAUAUUGCGCAAUGGGGGAAACCCUGACGCAGCGACGCCUCGUGUGUGAUGAAGGCUUUAGGGUCGUAAAGCACUGUCGCAAGGGAAUAAGAUCUGAAUGUACCUUGCAAGAAAGCACCGGCUAACUUCGUGCCAGCAGCCGCGGUAAUACGAGGGGUGCAAGCGUUGUUCGGAAUUACUGGGCGUAAAGCGGGUGUAGGCGGAACCGUCAGUCAGAUGUGAAAUCCCAGGGCUCAACCCUGGACGUGCAUUUGAUACUGCGGUUCUUGAGUGUGGGAGAGGGUCGUGGAAUUCCUGGUGUAGUGGUGAAAUACGUAGAUAUCAGGAGGAACACCGGUGGCGAAGGCGGCGGCCUGGCCCAACACUGACGCUCAGACCCGAAAGCGUGGGGAGCAAACAGGAUUAGAUACCCCCGUAGUCC
Molecule: ribosomal RNA, 426 nt
Filed under: uncultured prokaryote
Description: bacterial SSU rRNA
Rfam family: Bacterial small subunit ribosomal RNA
Source: RNAcentral